GAUGAACGCUGGCGGCGUGCCUAAUACAUGCAAGUCGAGCGAACAGACGAGGAGCUCGCUCCUCUGACGUUAGCGGCGGACGGGUGAGUAACACGUGGAUAACCUACCUAUAAGACUGGGAUAACUUCGGGAAACCGGAGCUAAUACCGGAUAAUAUAUUGAACCGCAUGGUUCAAUAGUGAAAGACGGUUUUGCUGUCACUUAUAGAUGGAUCCGCGCCGCAUUAGCUAGUUGGUAAGGUAACGGCUUACCAAGGCAACGAUGCGUAGCCGACCUGAGAGGGUGAUCGGCCACACUGGAACUGAGACACGGUCCAGACUCCUACGGGAGGCAGCAGUAGGGAAUCUUCCGCAAUGGGCGAAAGCCUGACGGAGCAACGCCGCGUGAGUGAUGAAGGUCUUCGGAUCGUAAAACUCUGUUAUUAGGGAAGAACAAAUGUGUAAGUAACUAUGCACGUCUUGACGGUACCCAAUCAGAAAGCCACGGCUAACUACGUG
This 497-nucleotide ribosomal RNA is filed under the name uncultured bacterium. RNAcentral's name for it is "partial 16S ribosomal RNA". It matches the Rfam family "Bacterial small subunit ribosomal RNA", at positions 28 to 507 of the family's 1533-position model. The record is from RNAcentral.